Thalassophryne amazonica is the source of this 431-nucleotide long non-coding RNA. RefSeq lists it as uncharacterized. The transcript has 5 exons. Lineage: Eukaryota; Metazoa; Chordata; Actinopteri; Batrachoidiformes; Batrachoididae. The record is from RefSeq and is a predicted model, not a curated record.
UCACAAUUAACAUUUAUUUAAUCUCUCUGAAGGUUAUAUAUCAGAUCCCGCUGAGGGCAUCUCAGCACAGAAGAAAAAGAUUGAGCAUCAACCUGAGACGGUGGAGUUUGAAUCUGCGAAAACAGACCCUGACGAGAAGGAGCCCCCUGUCAAAGGAGACACAUCAUUGAAUGAAUGGGUGGAGUCUAAACUUGAGGGAAAGGAGCCUAUGAGUGAUGGCAGAGACUCUGGGGCGGAGUCAAAGAUAGAACUGACAUCUGACAUCACAGCUGCCUUCAAAACCUUCCAAACUCAGCUGGAACAACACUUUACGGACUGCUGGCAGAAGCUUGAAGCUGAGGUUCUUCUGUCCAUUAAUCAGUGCCAACAGCGUGUCGUGUCCCUGUUGAAUGCUGUUCAUCAGCAAAGGUAUCGGACGCAGGUCCUUCUGU